GAAGCGCGAACCAAGCGGCGGCGAAAACCGCGCAAGACUCGGAGCGGACGGCCGCAGGACCGUCCUGCA
Bifidobacterium longum subsp. infantis is the source of this 69-nucleotide non-coding RNA. The record is from Rfam. Lineage: Bacteria; Bacillati; Actinomycetota; Actinomycetes; Bifidobacteriales; Bifidobacteriaceae.